GUCCCGAUAGUUCAGCUGGAUAGAACACAUCCCUCCUAAGGAUGGGACCCAGGUUCAAGUCCUGGUCGGGACACCA
This 76-nucleotide transfer RNA is filed under the name Candidatus Falkowiibacteriota bacterium. RNAcentral's name for it is "tRNA-Arg". It matches the Rfam family "tRNA". Rfam says of the family: Transfer RNA (tRNA) molecules are approximately 80 nucleotides in length. Their secondary structure includes four short double-helical elements and three loops (D, anti-codon, and T loops). Further hydrogen bonds mediate the characteristic L-shaped molecular structure. tRNAs have two regions of fundamental functional importance: the anti-codon, which is responsible for specific mRNA codon recognition, and the 3' end, to which the tRNAs corresponding amino acid is attached (by aminoacyl-tRNA synthetases). tRNAs cope with the degeneracy of the genetic code in two manners: having more than one tRNA (with a specific anti-codon) for a particular amino acid; and 'wobble' base-pairing, i.e. permitting non-standard base-pairing at the 3rd anti-codon position. The record is from RNAcentral. Lineage: Bacteria; Candidatus Falkowiibacteriota.